RNAcentral lists this ribosomal RNA (266 nucleotides) under uncultured Staphylococcus sp. RNAcentral's name for it is "partial 16S ribosomal RNA". It matches the Rfam family "Bacterial small subunit ribosomal RNA", at positions 96 to 356 of the family's 1533-position model. Lineage: Bacteria; Bacillati; Bacillota; Bacilli; Caryophanales; Staphylococcaceae. The record is from RNAcentral.
CGGCGGACGGGUGAGUAACACGUGGGUAACCUACCUAUAAGACUGGGACAACUUCGGGAAACCGGAGCUAAUACCGGAUAAGAUAUCGAACCGCAUGGUUCGAUAGUGAAAGANGGUUUUGCUAUCACUUAUAGAUGGACCCGCGCCGUAUUAGCUAGUUGGUGAGGUAACGGCUCACCAAGGCAACGAUACGUAGCCGACCUGAGAGGGUGAUCGGCCACACUGGAACUGAGACACGGUCCAGACUCCUACGGGAGGCAGCAGCG